Molecule: ribosomal RNA, 517 nt
Filed under: uncultured beta proteobacterium
Lineage: Bacteria; Pseudomonadati; Pseudomonadota; Betaproteobacteria
Description: bacterial SSU rRNA
Rfam family: Bacterial small subunit ribosomal RNA
Source: RNAcentral
GUGGAGGAACACCAAUGGCGAAGGCAGCCCCCUGGGAUAACACUGACGCUCAUGCACGAAAGCGUGGGGAGCAAACAGGAUUAGAUACCCUGGUAGUCCACGCCCUAAACGAUGCUGACUAGUUGUUGGGAAUUUACAUUCUCAGUAACGUAGCUAACGCGUGAAGUCAGCCGCCUGGGGAGUACGGUCGCAAGAUUAAAACUCAAAGGAAUUGACGGGGACCCGCACAAGCGGUGGAUGAUGUGGAUUAAUUCGAUGCAACGCGAAAAACCUUACCUACCCUUGACAUGUCACUAACGAAGUAGAGAUACAUUAGGUGCCCGUAAGGGAAAGUGAACACAGGUGCUGCAUGGCCGUCGUCAGCUCGUGUCGUGAGAUGUUGGGUUAAGUCCCGCAACGAGCGCAACCCUUGUCUUUAGUUGCUACGCAAGAGCACUCUAAAGAGACUGCCGGUGACAAACCGGAGGAAGGUGGGGAUGACGUCAAGUCCUCAUGGCCCUUAUGGGUAGGGCUUCAC